CGCGGCCUAUCAGCUUGUUGGUGGGGUAGUGGCCUACCAAGGCGACGACGGGUAGCCGGCCUGAGAGGGUGACCGGCCACACUGGGACUGAGACACGGCCCAGACUCCUACGGGAGGCAGCAGUGGGGAAUAUUGCGCAAUGGGCGGAAGCCUGACGCAGCGACGCCGCGUGGGGGAUGACGGCCUUCGGGUUGUAAACCUCUUUCAGCAGGGACGAAGCGAGAGUGACGGUACCUGCAGAAGAAGCACCGGCCAACUACGUGCCAGCAGCCGCGGUAAUACGUAGGGUGCAAGCGUUGUCCGGAAUUAUUGGGCGUAAAGAGCUCGUAGGCGGUCUGUCGCGUCGGCUGUGAAAUCCCGAGGCUCAACCUCGGGUCUGCAGUCGAUACGGGCAAACUGGAGUACUGCAGGGGAGACUGGAAUUCCUGGUGUAGCGGUGAAAUGCGCAGAUAUCAGGAGGAACACCGGUGGCGAAGGCGGGUCUCUGGGCAGUAACUGACGCUGAGGAGCGAAAGCGUGGGGAGCGAACAGGAUUAGAUACCCUGGUAGUCCACGCCGUAAACGUUGGGCGCUAGGUGUGGGGCUCAUUCCACGAGUUCCGUGCCGCAGCUAACGCAUUAAGCGCCCCGCCUGGGGAGUACGG
RNAcentral lists this ribosomal RNA (643 nucleotides) under uncultured bacterium. RNAcentral's name for it is "bacterial SSU rRNA". It matches the Rfam family "Bacterial small subunit ribosomal RNA", at positions 232 to 885 of the family's 1533-position model. The record is from RNAcentral.